AUUCUUUUGCAGUUCCUCAGUAUGAUGAUGGGGGCUCAUGCAUCUCUGUGACCUGCUCCUCCCUCAAUCCUUGCUAUGACUUGAGCACAUUACCCAUCUGCCA
Sorex araneus (European shrew) is the source of this 103-nucleotide small nucleolar RNA. The record is from Ensembl. NCBI's taxonomy places the organism in Eukaryota, Metazoa, Chordata, Mammalia, Eulipotyphla, Soricidae.